GGUUUUAUAUUCAAAUGUAAUGAUUUUAAAUUGCAAAUUUAAAGGUGUAUUUUACUAAAACCU
This 63-nucleotide transfer RNA is filed under the name Tingis cardui. RNAcentral's name for it is "tRNA-Cys". The record is from RNAcentral. Lineage: Eukaryota; Metazoa; Arthropoda; Insecta; Hemiptera; Tingidae.